UACGUAGGGUGCGAGCGUUAAUCGGAAUUACUGGGCGUAAAGCGUGCGCAGGCGGUUUUGUAAGCCAGAUGUGAAAUCCCCGGGCUUAACCUGGGAAUGGCAUUUGGGACUGCAAGGCUCGAGUGCGGCAGAGGAGACUGGAAUUCCUGGUGUAGCAGUGAAAUGCGUAGAUAUCAGGAGGAACACCGGUGGUGUAGACGGCUUCCUGGACCACAACUGACGCUGAGACACGAAAGCGUGGGGAGCAAACAGG
RNAcentral lists this ribosomal RNA (253 nucleotides) under uncultured bacterium. RNAcentral's name for it is "partial 16S ribosomal RNA". It matches the Rfam family "Bacterial small subunit ribosomal RNA", at positions 524 to 776 of the family's 1533-position model. The record is from RNAcentral.